RNAcentral lists this ribosomal RNA (443 nucleotides) under uncultured bacterium. RNAcentral's name for it is "partial 16S ribosomal RNA". It matches the Rfam family "Bacterial small subunit ribosomal RNA", at positions 338 to 795 of the family's 1533-position model. The record is from RNAcentral.
CCUACGGGAGGCAGCAGUGGGGAAUAUUGGACAAUGGGGGGAACCCUGGUCCAGCGACGCCGCGUGAGUGAAGAAGUAUUUCGGUAUGUAAAGCUCUAUCAGCAGGGAAGAAAGAAAUGACGGUACCUGACUAAGAAGCCCCGGCUAACUACGUGCCAGCAGCCGCGGUAAUACGUAGGGGGCAAGCGUUAUCCGGAUUUACUGGGUGUAAAGGGAGCGUAGACGGCGAUGCAAGUCUGAAGUGAAAGGCGGGGGCCCAACCCCUGGACUGCUUUGGAAACUGUAUGGCUGGAGUGCAGGAGAGGUAAGUGGAAUUCCUAGUGUAGCGGUGAAAUGCGUAGAUAUUAGGAGGAACACCAGUGGCGAAGGCGGCUUACUGGACUGUAACUGACGUUGAGGCUCGAAAGCGUGGGGAGCAAACAGGAUUAGAUACCCGGGUAGUC